AUGGACUUCAGAGGACAGGAUGAGACCCUUGCACAGGGUCCAUGGCAAGGAGGGCUGGGCAGGAUCAGGGAGCAGCAUCCCAGCUGCCUUCUGCAUUCCCAGCCACACAUGCCUUCCAGUGCCACUGUUCCCUUCAUUUCCCCUCCCUGGGGCACGUGGGGCCAUAUCCAUGGGCACAGGGGGCAGGACAGGGUAGUGGGGACCCCAGGCUCUCCUCCCAGCCCUGACGCUGGUUUCUGUGUGACUAGUGACUGGGGCACAGCUGAGACUGAACUGCUGGGGAGAGGAAGAGGAAGAGGAAGAAGAGCAGAACCACUCUGUCUGGGGACCUUGCUGCUAGUGCCCAUGGGGGCUCCGGUCCAGCCUGCCUGUGGGCUGGGGCUGUGCCCAUUGCCAUGCACUGCAGUCCCCUCUGGUUGCCCCCAGUCUCAUCACCGUGCCCUCACACUGAGGGAAGAAACGGGGGACACAGCCUGGAUGUACAACAUGGGUGCCAGAUGUGUGUGCCAGAUGUGUGUGCCCCCACAUGCACACUCAAAACCCCCUGAGCCACACACAGGCUGCCAUGUACACCCCGCUGGUGCUGAUGUGCACACUUGCACACACUCCGGUUGGCACACCCCCACAGCCUGGCACACACAGACAGGCCAGCACAUGGUGCCACGUGUGCAGAGACACACCUGCACUGUCACACCCGAGCACACGGCCACCUGUGCCGGCUGUCCUGUCAUCACACACCCAUGCACCCAUCAUAUGUGCUGUGUGCUCUCCCAUGUGCCCCAUGGCAUGUGUGGGGUGUCACACACACCAGUGCAUGUCACACACACCAGUGCGGGUCACACACACCAGUGCGUGUCACACACUCGUGUCGAUUUCACACACUCAUGUCCAUGUCACACCAGUGCCCCACUCAUGUGCAUACAGGGUCACACCCGCACACAUGGGUGCACACACAGCCCCUCCCGAGCCUCCCCUGCACAGGUGCCCUGGCGAGCACUGCACACGGGCUGA
Molecule: long non-coding RNA, 1011 nt
Filed under: Parus major (Great Tit)
Lineage: Eukaryota; Metazoa; Chordata; Aves; Passeriformes; Paridae
Description: lncRNA (ENSPMJG00000000176.1)
Source: RNAcentral